GACGAAGGAUCCAAGCGUUAUCCGGAUUCAUUGGGUUUAAAGGGAGCGUAGGCGGGUUUAUAAGUCAGUGGUGAAAGCCGGUCGCUUAACGAUCGAACUGCCAUUGAUACUGUAGACCUAGAAUAUAGAUGAUGUUGGCGGAAUAUGUCAUGUAGCGGUGAAAUGCUUAGAUAUGACAUAGAACACCAAUUGCGAAGGCAGUUCACUACGGAUAUAUUGACACUGAGGCACGAAAGCGUGGGGAUCAAACAGG
This 253-nucleotide ribosomal RNA is filed under the name uncultured prokaryote. Its description in RNAcentral is "partial 16S ribosomal RNA". It matches the Rfam family "Bacterial small subunit ribosomal RNA", at positions 524 to 776 of the family's 1533-position model. The record is from RNAcentral.